GAAAAUUGUCACAAGUAGCCGCUGAAAAUCAUGAAGACAGCUUGAAAUCAUGAAGACAUCGCCCACGCCGUCUCAUGAUUAAAUGAUAACAGUGCAUAUAUAAAGAGAUUUUUCUCCACUGUUAGACAAUUCAUAAUUUCCCAUUCCAGCAACAUGUAUUCCACAACUGUGAAAAUUGUCGUCUGCGUCGUGUUGGUCAGUGUGGCAAUCUCCGAAGAUUGUCAGGUGACUUCUGACUGUAGUCAUGUGACCUGUCCGUAACGUGAGUAUGUGCUUACAUGUGAUAAUAGAAUCUGUAGCUGCGUGCUAACCACGCAACAUUCUUGUUUGUCACCGACCGACUGCCAGAACUCAGCUCCCGGAAGUAACAAUUUCUGCGACCGCGACUUCCAUUGUGUAGACGGUACAUGCAGGUGUGGUCACGGGUUUGGGCCUGCACCAGGAGGUGGUGAUCAUCACCCAGGUGGCGGUCCAGGACCAGUCGGCAAAUAAACCUCUAGACAUAAUUUGCCAUGACGUCAUUUAUAUGCUUGAUAUUCAAUUUGAAUCAAUAAAAGAUCAAAUAUAGUAUUUGAAAUAUUUAAAA
Molecule: RNA transcript, 586 nt
Organism: Ruditapes philippinarum (Manila clam)
Lineage: Eukaryota; Metazoa; Mollusca; Bivalvia; Venerida; Veneridae
Gene name: serine protease inhibitor Cvsi-1-like
Exons: 3
Source: RefSeq, a predicted model, not a curated record